This 392-nucleotide long non-coding RNA is filed under the name Chrysemys picta bellii (western painted turtle). Its description in RNAcentral is "lncRNA (ENSCPBG00000014481.1)". Lineage: Eukaryota; Metazoa; Chordata; Testudines; Emydidae. The record is from RNAcentral.
GUUUCUUACAUCAGGAGUGAAGUUUUUUAAUUGUGUACCCUGAACCCCCGCUCACCAGAUGGAUAGCUGAAAACAGGCUACUGUACCUCCCGAGUUAGCCUUCUAAAAACCCUGCCUGCAUGGGGGAAGGUAAGGAGGAAAAGGAGAAUGUACAGAGUAUUACCAGAAAUUAGCCAAUACCGACACAAGCCCAAUUAAUUCCCUUUUUGGGUCUCUGUUGGCUGUUCUUGAACGUGAGUAAAUGCUGUGCUGCGAGGGAGACACCGCAUAGUGCGAUCUCAGCACCACUGCCAGGCGAAGGACAGACACUGCAAAUUAAAAUAUUCCUAAUGUGGAGUGGAAGACAAUGCCUGCAUUUAUGGUUAACUAUAAGUGAUACACUAGGAAGAUGA